UACGAAGGGUGCAAACGUUGCUCGGAAUCAUUGGGCGUAAAGCGCACGUAGGCGGCCUUGCAAGUCCGAUGUGAAAGCUUCCGGCUUAACUGGAAAAUUGCAUCGGAAACUGCUCGGCUUGAAGGUGGGAGAGGGUAGCGGAAUUCCCGGUGUAGUGGUGAAAUGCGUAGAUAUCGGGAGGAACACCAGUGGCGAAGGCGGCUACCUGGCCCACUCUUGACGCUGAGGCGCGAAAGCUAGGGGAGCAAACGGG
Molecule: ribosomal RNA, 253 nt
Filed under: uncultured bacterium
Lineage: Bacteria
Description: partial 16S ribosomal RNA
Rfam family: Bacterial small subunit ribosomal RNA
Source: RNAcentral